This 478-nucleotide ribosomal RNA is filed under the name uncultured Latescibacterota bacterium. RNAcentral describes it as "bacterial SSU rRNA". It matches the Rfam family "Bacterial small subunit ribosomal RNA", at positions 901 to 1382 of the family's 1533-position model. The record is from RNAcentral. Lineage: Bacteria; Pseudomonadati; Candidatus Latescibacterota.
UUAAAGGAAUUGACGGGGCCCGCACAAGCGGUGGAGCAUGUGGUUCAAUUCGACGCAACGCGAAGAACCUUACCCAGACUUGACAUGCACUAGACGAGUGUGGAAACACACUUUUCCUUCGGGACUGGUGCACAGGUGCUGCAUGGCUGUCGUCAGCUCGUGUCGUGAGAUGUUGGGUUAAGUCCCGCAACGAGCGCAACCCUUGUCCUUAGUUGCUACGGGUAAAGCCGAGCACUCUAAGGAGACUGCCGGUGAUAAACCGGAGGAAGGUGGGGAUGACGUCAAGUCCUCAUGGCCCUUACGUCUGGGGCUACACACGUGCUACAAUGGCCGGUACAAAGGGUUCCGAUACCGCGAGGUGGAGGCAAUCCCAAAAACCGGUCUCAGUUCGGAUUGCAGUCUGCAACUCGACUGCAUGAAGUCGGAAUCGCUAGUAAUCGCGGAUCAGCUUGCCGCGGUGAAUACGUUCCCGGGUCUU